Lytechinus pictus (painted urchin) is the source of this 704-nucleotide long non-coding RNA. RefSeq lists it as uncharacterized. The transcript is spliced from 2 exons. The record is from RefSeq and is a predicted model, not a curated record. Lineage: Eukaryota; Metazoa; Echinodermata; Echinoidea; Temnopleuroida; Toxopneustidae.
AGUCAGACCGCAGCUCGCGCGAUAAUGAGCAUAUUCACGGAAAUUUAUUCAGCGGCCCUCUAGCGGUCUCCGAAGGAAAACGUGCGAUCAAUUUGGCUUGAUUUUCCCACUGAAUUGGAGGGGCUGAAGUUAUAGCUCUGUACUGGUCGCUAACUUCAGUUUACGUCGAAACGAAUUGUGAUCUGCAUACUUGCUGACUCUGGUCUCUGCUUGCUACUUCAUUCUGGGAGAGUCCAUCAUGUACUAUAAUGGUCAGACCAUGAUUUCGACAAAGCCCUUAUUUCGUUUGCAAAUUUUGGACUGAUACAACAGAAAAUUUAUCUUUAUCGAUAUUGGAAACAAAAAAUUAGAGCACAGUUUUGGGGAGGACUAAGAAUACUGACUUGGACAGGAAUACAGCUUGACAAAAAUAAAAAUUCACAAUUCAAAACCAAAGAACAUUUUUAAUGUUACUAAUAGUGCAUUGCAAGAAACUUUCUACUCAAUCACACAUUCCAAAAUUAAGGGUAAGUCCUUUGAUUAAACACAAACAUGUAGUUGAUUUGCAAUUGAAAUUGAACGUAAGUUUCUUGCAAUGCCCCAUAAUCAUAUUUUGUUCUCAAGCAACUCUGUUAUAUGUUAUCUAAUGUGCUGAAGGUUAAGUGCCAUGUAUGUUCACAAUUUUUUUUUUCGAAGGUAUAAUAUAUUUGUCCUUUUAAACGGUA